GAGGGUAUAGCUCAGCGGUAGAGUACAUGCCUCACGUGCAUGAGGUCCUGAGUUCAAUCCCCAGUAUCGCCA
Transfer RNA from Camelus ferus (Wild Bactrian camel), 72 nucleotides. It matches the Rfam family "tRNA". From Rfam's summary of the family: Transfer RNA (tRNA) molecules are approximately 80 nucleotides in length. Lineage: Eukaryota; Metazoa; Chordata; Mammalia; Artiodactyla; Camelidae. The record is from Rfam.